GCAAACUUGGUCAUUUAGAGGAAGUAAAAGUCGUAACAAGGUUUCCGUAGGUGAACCUGCGGAAGGAUCAUUAUUGAGACUUAUCUCUUUAACUCUACUAAUUGACCUUUAUAGAGACUUUGAGUUCUCUGUUUAAGUCAUUAGUUGAUUCAAUAUACAUGGUAUUGUGUACAUCUUCUAAUGAACUGGUAGAUGUCUAACAUUAUAACUGCUUAAGUUUGUAUGUAACUUUAGAUAAACUAUCAAGACAUUAGUUAUAUAUACAUUUCAUUUUACUGAUAUCUUAAAUAUAUCAAAUUAAAACUUUCAACAAUGGAUCUCUUGGUUCUGGCAUCGAUGAAGAACGCAGC
Molecule: unclassified non-coding RNA, 350 nt
Filed under: uncultured fungus
Lineage: Eukaryota; Fungi
Description: partial contains small subunit ribosomal RNA, internal transcribed spacer 1, and 5.8S ribosomal RNA
Rfam family: Eukaryotic small subunit ribosomal RNA (bases 1-73)
Source: RNAcentral